This 301-nucleotide ribosomal RNA is filed under the name uncultured Lactobacillus sp. RNAcentral describes it as "bacterial SSU rRNA". It matches the Rfam family "Bacterial small subunit ribosomal RNA", at positions 496 to 795 of the family's 1533-position model. Lineage: Bacteria; Bacillati; Bacillota; Bacilli; Lactobacillales; Lactobacillaceae. The record is from RNAcentral.
UCGCACUACGGGCCGGCAUCGUGUGUAAUGCUGUGUGUGGAAGCGUUGUCCGGAGUUAUUGGGCGGAAAGCGGGCGCAGGCGGUUCCUUAAGUCUGAUGUGAAAGCCCCCGGCUCGACCGGGGAGGGUCAUUGGAAACUGGGGAACUUGAGUGCAGAAGAGGAGAGUGGAAUUCCAUGUGUAGCGGUGAAAUGCGUAGAUAUAUGGAGGAACACCAGUGGCGAAGGCGACUCUCUGGUCUGUAACUGACGCUGAGGCUCGAAAGCGUGGGUAGCAAACAGGAUUAGAUACCCCCAGUAGUC